This 5614-nucleotide long non-coding RNA is filed under the name Macaca fascicularis (crab-eating macaque). RNAcentral's name for it is "lncRNA (ENSMFAG00000052191.1)". The record is from RNAcentral. Lineage: Eukaryota; Metazoa; Chordata; Mammalia; Primates; Cercopithecidae.
AGUAGCCCUCAACUAGAUAAUAGUUGUGUUUUUUUGUUUUGUUUUGUUUUGUUUGUUUUUUUUUUUUGAGAUGGAGUUAUGCUCUUGUCGCCCAGGCUGGAGUACAAUGGCACGAUCUUGGCUCACUGUAACCUCUGCCUCCCGGGUUCAAGGAUUAUCCUGCCUCAGCCUCCCAACUAGCUGGGAUUCAAGCAUGUGCCACCAUGCCUGGCUAAUAUUUUUUUUUUUUUUUUUUUUUGGUCUGAGACAGAGCCCAGGCUGGAGUGCAGUGGCACGAUCCCGGCUCGCUGCAAGCUCUGCCUCCUGGGUUCACACCAUUCUCCUGCCUCAGCCUCCCGAGUAGCUGGGACUACAGGCCCCUGCCACCAUGCCUGGCUAAUUUUUUUGUAUUUUUAGUAGAGACGGGGUUUUACCAUGUUAGCCAGGAUGGUCUCGAUCUCCUGACCUCGUGAUCCGCUGGCCUUGGCCUCCCAAAGUGCUGGGAUUACAGGCGUGAGCCACCGCACCUGGCCAAUUUUUUGUGUUUUUAGUAGAGAUGGGGUUUCACCGCGUGGGCCAGGCUGGUCUCGAACUCCUGACCUCAAGUGAUCUGCCCGCCUCGGCCUCCCGAAGUGCUUUUCAAGAGAGAAAUUGUCCCUCCUCUGUAAAAAACCAACUGCAAGUUUGCAUAUCUAAUUGGUCUAGAAAAACACUGGACAUAUAGGGAGGGAAACCAGUAUCAUUUGUAAUUUCAAGGACUAUUCUGGAACUCCAAACUCCAUGGAGAUUAAUCCUAAACACUAGGGACAAAUGCCCAUUUUCUCUGGUUGGGAAAUUUAAGAAACCAAGGUGGAACUGGGCCAUAUGCAGAAGCAUCUGACUUCCUGGAAUAUAAUCAACAAAUGUGAUUCUGAGCCAAGUUGGGAUCAAUGCAUCAAUGUCAAGCAGGCAUCUGCGGAGCCCUGACAACAUGGAGCUCGACGUGGGGGUCAGAGACAUUCCUGAGGGUACUGUGUCUAAUUCUCCUCAAGGUAUCUUACCGGACAUUUCUUUUAUGCACGGUGACUCUUUGUCUAUCAGAAGCUGGAUUUUGUUGGUGGGACACAAGACAGAGAACACAUUCUUGUUCUCCCGAAGGGAGAUACUUUGCCCAUGCUUGUGACUCUCUUUCCGCAGACUUGGAAUCCAGAGAAGCCCACCCAGGGGCUGGAAUGGAGGAUGAGGAUCAUAACAAGGUAAUUGAUUGAGGAAGAACAACUCUAGUAUGGAGCUUUAUAUCCCAAAUUGCAGCAGUUGUAAGUCUUACUCCCUGCUUGGGAGAACAUGGUGGCUGAGAAGACAGGUGUUAGGUCCCGGCUUCCUGCAUUCAGAUCCCUACUCCAGGCCUUACUUUAAGUUGCUUAAAUUCACUGGGCCUCAGUUUCCUCAUCUGGGCCCCUGGAAGGAUAUUAGUAACACCUAUCUUGCAGGGUCAUUAUGGGGCACUGAUUGAGUCAACACCUGGAAUCACAGGCAUUGUAGGAACAUAAUAAGUCCUCACUAAAUGAGAGCUACUACCAUGACCUUUUAAAUUUGUCUUUCUCUAUGUGCCAUUCACCAUCCUCCAUUUCAUCCAUCCAGCAAAAAUACAAAUACCAUAUUCUGUGACAGGUGCUGGUCAAGUCACUAGGGAUAGGCACAAAGUUAGCAGAAUAUAAAUCUCGUCAGAGGGUUGAUCCCCUCCCCAGGUUUCUCUUAUUUCUUGAUCCGGUUUCUCUUAUUUCUUAAUUUCUUAAUUCUCUUGUUUCUUAAAGAAUUAAACAUUAAUUCUUAAUGUUAAGAGCAGAACAUACAAUAAGUUUGAACUCAAUUUUUGCUGUUCCUUGGUCCUGUUCCUCACCCAUUCUCUCCAUUUGCUUUUUCUGCUUCCUUGCUCUUUCUUUCCGAAUUCUGUAGGAAGAUAGGCCCCAGGUGGCUCCGCCAAGGAAGGACCCUGGAAUCCCCCCAGGCUCUUCUAGGGCUCUUCUUGGUGAGGGAGCCCUGGGAGGGGCAGAUCCCCAGGGAAGCCUACCACUCCUCCCACUCAGCAAUCCCUCUUGGGCCAGGCUCCCCUUCCCAGGCCCUCAGCUCUCCCACAAGCUCUCUGGGGAAGCUGGAAGAGGGCCACUAGGCCCUGUAAUAACCACACUUCUUCAUGGUAAACAAGAACCAGAUUCCUGGGGAGUGACGCAGGCCGGAGCUCUGUGGCUGAGGCAGCUGUGUGAUUACACCAAGACAUGAAGAAACACCUCUUGCUCGGCCUUGGCCUGCUUGGGGAAGGCCCACGGGAGAGGCUGCCCACGUGUCCCUCUUUGCUACCCUUCUAGUCAUUCUUGGCCUGAAUUACAGGGGCCUUGGCACCAAUUGGCUCUGCAGAUACGAGUGGGCAACCAUCAGCCCCCAUCUCCCAACCAGACUAGGUUCCUCCAUCACCUCUUCUUUUCCAGGAUUUUCCCCACCCUCUUCCCUACUCAUGUGUCUGACUUCCACCCUUGGCUGUCAUCCUGCACUCCCUGUGCCUUCCUUCUUGAGGGAGAAUCAUGCAUGUCUCUCAUCAAUGCCAGGUGAAACCUUAGGCUCCUGUGCAGAGGCCUUGAUCCCGGGCACCCAGGAAUGAAGCCUGCCCUGAAGGGGCACUGGCCCACAGGCUGUAAAAGCUGGUCCAGGGCCUUCAUCUUCACAAUAUGACUUCUGAGUGUAGGAUCAGGUCUCCUGGAUGUUUAGGCCAAGCACAGUUCUUGCUAGUUCCUAUAUGGAAGGUUGAACUGUCUUAAAUACUUCUAGAAUACACAGAAGCUGGGGUGGAGAACUGGGUGGCUGAGGGGUUAGGUGGCCAGGGAGAAAUUUUACAAGAUGCUGUUUAGGGCUUUUGCAUUUUGUACCAUGUGAAUGUAUUAAAAAAAAAUUUUUUUUUUUUUUUAAAGAAUUCUGUGGUCUUGUAAACCUCUUGUAUGUCAGAUAUAGAGAAUUUCUGGCCCCUGUCCUCAUGGAGGAAGGGAUAGUGGGAUAGCCUCAUGGAAAAGGCCUCAUUUGGGCCAGACUUCAGGCUUAGAAGGGGCUGACAAAGGCAGGUGGCUGCUUGGGUUUGAGAUUUUCUAAGUGUCUGAAUGACACAGAAUCUUGCACGAUGAGGGUUGUGUUGCUGAGUGUGAUGGUCCUGGAGGGAGGAGGAUGGGCCUGAGCUUCUAUCCAGGCCUAGAAGGACAUUUGACCUUUUGUGUCUAUGAAUUUGACUACUUAGGUACCUCAGAUAAGUGGAAUCAUAUAAUAUUUGUCUUUUUGUGUCUGGCUUAUUUUAUUGGCACAAUAUUUCCAUGGUUAGUCCAUGUUAUGGCAUGUAUCAGAAUUUCCUUUUUUUUUUUUUGAGAUGGAGUUUUUUAUAUAUAUAUAUCUGUUUCAUUCUUUUUGGUAUAUCCCCAGAAGUGGAAUUGCUAAAUCAUAUGGUAAUUCUAUGUUUAAUUUUUUGAGGACCUGCCAUACUAUUUCCACGAUGGCUGCACCAUUUUGCAUUCUCACCGGCAGUGCACGAGAGUUCCAAUUUCUCCACAUUUUAGCUAACACUUAUUUUCUGGGUUUGUUUUUAUUUUAGUAAUAGCCAUUCCAAUGGGGAUAGCCUUAAGAAGGUUUAAGCAUGGUGCCCUGGGGCUCAGAAACGGGAGAGAUAUAUGCAGGAAGCUCUCACUGAGAAGGUGACAUUUGACCUGGACUUCUAAGGAUGGGCAAGAAUUCUCCAGGUGGAGGAGGAAAACCACAUAGGAGAAAGACUUAACGAAAAGAGGAACGAAGAGAGACAAGAAACUGCAUGGCCUGUUUUGAGGCAGCAGGUGGUUAGCACCAGCAAGAAAUACGGUUUGUAGGGGAGGGUGUCAAAAUGUAAGGUAAGAGGCAGAUUUAAGGGAUAGAAAUUCUUCUCAGGCUUUGGACUUUGGUCAAUAAGGAGCUAUUGGCGAUGUGUUGUGCAAACUUCAACACACUCUAUAAAUAUAAGAAUGUAGAAUAAAAAGGAGAGAAACGUUUUUAAAGAGAUGAAGUGUGACAGGGCACGGUGUCUCAUGCCUGUAAUCCCAGCACUUUGGGAGGCCGAGGCAGGCAGAUCAUUUGAGGUCAGGAAUUCGAGACCAGCCUGGCCAACAUGGUGAAACCCUGUCUCUACUAAAAAUAUGAAAAUUAGCCUGAUGUGGUGGCACACGCCUGUAGUCCCAGUUACUUGGGAGGCUGAGGCACAAGAUAGAGAAUCACUUGAACCUAGGAGGCGGAAGUUGCAGUGAGCUGAGAUCAUGCCACUGCACUCCAGCCUGGGCAACAGAGCAAGACUCAGUCUCAAAAAAGGAACAAAAGUACCAAGAUCAAUGCACAAUGCCUAUUGUAUAAUCAAUGCACAAUGCCUAUUGUGUAUUACACAAUAUGGAAGUAAUGUCUGGCAUCCAUCUAGGAGAAUCCUGGGUACCCAUGGAACUAGCACUGCCCCAUUCCCUCCCUGUCAGCUUCCAAAUACAAGGCUAACCAAAUAGCACAGAGGGCCUGCCCCUGUUGACCUCUCUGGGUCAGGAGGGGCUCCUGUUAUCCAUUAGGUGGGAGAAUCACGAGGCCAUCACAAUUCCCUGCAGUCUCAACCUUUUAGGCUCAAGCAAUCCUCCCACUUAGUCACCUGAGUAGCUGGGACUAUAGGCCCCUGCCACCAUCCUCAGCUUUUUUUUUUUUUUUUUUUAGAAAAAAGUCUUCUAUCCUGGCUAACAUGGUGAAACCCCGUCUCUACUAAAAAUACAAAAAAAAAAAAAACUAGCCGGUGGUGGCGAGCCUGUAGUCUCAGCUACUUGGGAGGCUGAGGCGGGAGAAUGGCGUGAACCCGGAGCUUGCAGUGAGCGAGAUCACGCCACUACACUCCAGCCUGGGAGACAUGAGACUCCGUCUCAAAAAAAAAAAAAAAAGAAAAAAAGUCUUGCUCUUUUGCCCAGGCUGGUCUUGAACUCCUGGUCUCAAGUGAUCCUCCUGCCUUGGCUUCCCAAAGUGCCAGGAUAAUAGGCAUGAGCCACUGCACCCAGCCUCUUGUGGUACAAUAAAUGUGCACCAGAAGUUCUGAGAGCCUAGUUUUUCUUUUACUUUUCUUUUUCUUUUUUUGAGACGGAGUCUCGCUCUGUCACCAGGGCUGAAGUGCAAUGGUGUGAUCUCCACUCACUGCAACCUCUGCCUCCUGGGUUCAAGUGUUUUCUUCUGCCUCAGCCUCCCUAGUAGCUGAGACUAUAGGCGCACACCACCACGCCUGGCUAAUUUUUGUAUGUUUUGUAGAGACAGGUUUUUGCCAUGUUGGCCAGGCUGGCCUCAAACUCCUGACCUCAAGUGAUCCACCUGCCUCAGCCUCCCAAAGUGCUGGGAUUACAGGUGUGAGCCACCGUACCUGGGUUGAGAGCCUAGUUUUUAAAGUCACACACCUACCUGUCUAUAUGAUGGUGUAGAGGCGGUCUUUGGAGGAAAGGUACAGAUCUAUCUGUACAUGUCCCUUUUGUCUCUACAAUGUUGUAGUUUUCACCGCUUCAUAAGAAAUGUGGGAAGAAAAAUUAGGUCCUACUUUGAUCUGUCAUGGAAUGAGCAAAAACUAUAAAAAAAAUACACUAUAUAU